This 249-nucleotide ribosomal RNA is filed under the name uncultured bacterium. Its description in RNAcentral is "partial 16S ribosomal RNA". It matches the Rfam family "Bacterial small subunit ribosomal RNA", at positions 524 to 776 of the family's 1533-position model. The record is from RNAcentral.
GACGGGGGGGGCAAGUGUUCUUCGGAAUGACUGGGCGUAAAGGCACGUAGGCGGUGAAUCGGGUUGAAAGUGAAAGUCGCCAAAAAGUGGCGGAAUGCUCUCGAAACCAAUUCACUUGAGUGAGACAGAGGAGAGUGGAAUUUCGUGUGUAGGGGUGAAAUCCGUAGAUCUACGAAGGAACGCCAAGAGCGAAGGCAGCUCUCUGGGUCCCUACCGACGCUGGGUGCGAAAGCAUGGGGAGCGAACAGG